This 339-nucleotide unclassified non-coding RNA is filed under the name Nereida ignava DSM 16309. RNAcentral describes it as "Long range pseudoknot". The record is from RNAcentral. Lineage: Bacteria; Pseudomonadati; Pseudomonadota; Alphaproteobacteria; Rhodobacterales; Roseobacteraceae.
ACCAAUGAUUACAGCGUCAAAAUGCGUAAUGUUUUCAAGUUUUUGGAAAACGGCGACAAAGUAAAAAUAACACUGCGUUUCCGUGGCCGCGAAAUGGCGCACCAAAACCUUGGACGUGAAUUGCUUGAGCGCGUUGCAGAAGACACAAAAGAGCACGGCAAAGUAGAAAACUUCCCAAAAAUGGAAGGCCGUCAGAUGGUUAUGCUUAUCGGACCUAUGCCGAAAUAAGCGACGAUCUUAUUUGCGGUUCAACAGACCACAACACCGAUCAAAAAGCCCCCAACGCCAACCGCGUGGGGGCUUUUUCUUUGUCCCGCAUUUGCCCCAUUCUUGGUCUAU